RNAcentral lists this long non-coding RNA (1635 nucleotides) under Phasianus colchicus (ring-necked pheasant). RNAcentral's name for it is "lncRNA (ENSPCLG00000017149.1)". Lineage: Eukaryota; Metazoa; Chordata; Aves; Galliformes; Phasianidae. The record is from RNAcentral.
AUGCUUUCCGUACCCACUUUGGUAUUUUCAGUACCAAGCUUCGCAUUUUCAGCGCCGAAUUUGGUAUUUUCGGCACCAAAUCGGCCAUUUUCAGUACCAAACUUCGUAUUUUCAGCGCCGAAACGGAGAUUUUCAGCAGCGAUUUUGCUAUUUUCCGUGCUGAAUUUGGCAUUUUCAGCACCAAACCGGAGAUCCUCAGUACUGUGUUUCGUAUUUUCAGUCCCAAUUCUGGUAUUUUCAGCCCAAAUUCUGGUAUUUUCAGCGCCGAGCAGCAGAUUUUCAGUUCCACCUUUGAACUCGGUGCCAAAUCUGACGUUUUCUGCCCCAAUUCUGAGGCCUUCGCUGUCCAACCUGCAACUUUCAGUCCUGAUUCUGGAAUUUUCUGCUCCGGUUCUGACAUUUUCACUCCCAAUUCUGCCAUUUUCAGUCCCAAUUCUGCCAUUUUCAGUCCCAGCUCUGCAAUUUUCAGACACAAAUCUACUACAUUCCGUCUCAAUUCCGCUGUUUUCAGACCCAAAUCCGCCAUUUUCACUCCCAAAUCCGCCAUUUUCAGACCCAAUUCCACUUCCGGUCCCAAAUCCGCCAUUUUCAGACCCAAAUCCAAAUCUUCCAGCGCCGAAUCCCCCCCUCACCGCCCCAAUUUUGGCAUUUUCAGCACCAAAUCUGCCGCUUUCCGCCCCGAUUUGGGCACUCUCAGUUCCCAUUUUCACACAUCCUGUGCAAAAAUCGCCAUUUUCAGCCCCAAUUUUAGCGUAUUCUGUACCAUUCCUGCCCAUUUCGGCUCCAAAAUCAGCAUUUUUUGUACCGUUUCUGCUAUUUUCAGUCCCACCUGCGGUAUUUUCACUCCCAAAAUCAGCGUUUUCUGUACCGUUUCCAGCGUUUUCACCACAAUUUUGGACGUUUCCAAAACCGUUCUCAGCAUUUCCAGCGACGUCUGCACCGUUUUCCAGGCAACUUCCCCCAUUUUUGGGUCCGUUUCCCCCAUUUUUGGGUCCGUUUCCCCCAUUUUUGGGGCUGCCCUCUUCAUUUCUGGGUCCGUUCCCCCAAUUUUCAAAGCCGUCCUCCCCAUUUUCAGCGCUGCUUCCAUCCUUUCCAAGGCAACUUUUGGGGUCAUUCCUCGCAUUUUUGGGUCUCUUUCCUCCGUUUUCAGAACAACUCCCGCCGUUUCUGCAGCAGCUCCCCCCACUUUUGGGGCCGUUUCCUCCAUUUUUGGGGCCAUCCUCUCCAUUUUCAGACUCAUUCCCUCUAUUUUCAAAGCUCUUCUCUCCAUUUUUGGGGCAGUUUCCUCCAUUUUCAGCUCCGUUCUUCCCAUUUUUGGGGCCACUUCCCUCAUAUUCGGCUCCGUUCUCUCCACUUCUGGGGCCACAUCUCCAAUUUUCAGCCCCGUGCCCCCAAUUUUCAGCCCCGUGCCCCCAAUUUCCCCCUCUCCUCUCCCCAGUUUUGAAGCCAACUUCCGCCCCACGCACCCCAAUCUCAGCCCCAUUUCCUCCCACUUCCCCACCCCCCAUCUCAGCCCCAUUUUCUCUGCUUUUAACCCCAAUUCCCCUAAAUCCAGCCCCACUUCUCCCCACUUUAGCCCCAUUUCCCCCAAUUCCAGCCCCAUUUCCCCCAACCUCACCCCCAAUUCCCCCAAUU